UCCAGACUCCUACGGGAGGCAGCAGUGAGGAAUAUUGGUCAAUGGGCGCGAGCCUGAACCAGCCAAGUCGCGUGAGGGAAGACGGUCCUAUGGAUUGUAAACCUCUUUUGUCGGGGAGCAAAAGACGCCACGCGUGGCGUUCCGAGAGUACCCGAAGAAAAAGCAUCGGCUAACUCCGUGCCAGCAGCCGCGGUAAUACGGAGGAUGCGAGCGUUAUCCGGAUUUAUUGGGUUUAAAGGGUGCGCAGGCGGCACGGCAAGCCGGCGGUCAAAUCGCGGGGCUCAACCCCGCCCAGCCGUCGGAACUGCCGGGCUAGAGUGGGCGAGAAGUGCGCGGAAUGCGUGGUGUAGCGGUGAAAUGCAUAGAUAUCACGCAGAACUCCGAUUGCGAAGGCAGCGCACCGGCGCCCUACUGACGCUCAGGCACGAAAGCGUGGGUAUCGAACAGGAUUAGAUACCCUAGUAU
RNAcentral lists this ribosomal RNA (465 nucleotides) under uncultured bacterium. RNAcentral describes it as "bacterial SSU rRNA". It matches the Rfam family "Bacterial small subunit ribosomal RNA", at positions 330 to 793 of the family's 1533-position model. The record is from RNAcentral.